GUAUUUUUGCAGAAGCUCUUUAGCCUGUAAUUGCAGCUCCUCGGAGAUGGACAAAGAUCUGGACGCGUUGAGGAGGAGGAGGCAACACUCCAUCACGUCAGGACGAGGAAACAUCUGGGUGGCAGCCACAACGGGCUCCACCAGCUUCUUCCCUGGACACGUGGUCAUCAGAAAGAGCAGAGUCAACAUCGAGGACACGUCGUCCAGGACAGUCAGCUGACAACCUGCUCAGUGUCUCCACCUUUGGGCGGUUUGCUGAAUUCCUGCUCUGAGACAUUCCACUCCUGAACCGUGAAGUCCUUUCCUCCAGUCCAGACCAGGUCUGGAUCAACAGGAGACCAGUCCACGCACAGCAGCUCCACAGCACCUCCUGCUGGAUGACUGACCUGUGCUGUACCAUCAUAUGACACGCUGACAAGUUGGGCGUCGUGAUGUGGACUCCAGGCCAAACCUGUAAUUUUUGCCGUGUGACCUGCUAGCUUACGGAAUGGUUCGG
Molecule: long non-coding RNA, 496 nt
Organism: Cynoglossus semilaevis (tongue sole)
Lineage: Eukaryota; Metazoa; Chordata; Actinopteri; Pleuronectiformes; Cynoglossidae
Exons: 3
Source: RefSeq, a predicted model, not a curated record